This 403-nucleotide ribosomal RNA is filed under the name uncultured bacterium. RNAcentral describes it as "partial 16S ribosomal RNA". It matches the Rfam family "Bacterial small subunit ribosomal RNA", at positions 30 to 526 of the family's 1533-position model. The record is from RNAcentral.
AUUGAACGCUGGCGGCAGGCCUAACACAUGCAAGUCGAGCGAGCGGCGGACGGGCGAGUAAUGUAUGGGGCCUGCCCGAUAGAGGAGGAUAACUACUGGAAACGGUAGCUAAUACCGCAUACUCUCGGAUAACCCAUAUUGGUUGAGCUAGUAGGUGAGGUAAUGGCUCACCUAGGCGACGAUCCCUAGCUGGUCUGAGAGGAGGAUCAUACACACUGGUACGGAGACCAGGCCCAGACUGUGACGGAGGCAGCAGUGGGGAUUAUGGCACAAUGGGCGCAAGCCUGAUGCAUCCAUGCCGCGUGUAUGAAGAAGGCCCUAGGGUUGUAAAGUACUUUCAGUCGGGAGGCGUUCCCGACAGAAGAAGCACCGGCUAACUCCGUGCCAGCCGCCGCGGUAAUUC